GCCCGGCUAACUACGUGCCAGCAGCCGCGGUAAUACGUAGGGGCGAGCGUUGUCCGGAAUUAUUGGGCGUAAAGGGUACGUAGGCGGCUUUUUAAGUUUGACGUGAAAGCCCGGGGCUUAACUCCGGCAAGCGUUGAAAACUGGAGGGCUUGAGUGAUGGAAGGGACAGUGGAAUUCCUGGUGUAGUGGUGAAAUGCGCAGAGAUCAGGAAGAAUACCAGUGGCGAAGGCGACUGUCUGGACAUUAACUGACGCUGAGGUACGAAAGCGUGGGGAGCAAACAGGAUCAGAUACCCUGGUAGUCCACGCCGUAAACGAUGAGCACUAGGUAUCGGGGUCAGAAGACUUCGGUGCCGCCGUUAACACAUUAAGCACUCCGCCUGGGGAGUACGUACGCA
RNAcentral lists this ribosomal RNA (397 nucleotides) under uncultured bacterium. RNAcentral's name for it is "bacterial SSU rRNA". It matches the Rfam family "Bacterial small subunit ribosomal RNA", at positions 491 to 890 of the family's 1533-position model. The record is from RNAcentral.